AUUUCCACAGUGCAGAUGUCACUUGGCCCCUGCAAACCCAGUGGACGCAGGAGCCCAGGCACAACAUUUCCAUUCCACGGGAGGAUGCAGUGCCCCAGGUCCACGAAACUUGGUCACAGACCGGCUGCAGCAUCUCAGGAUCACGCGUGUAGCCUGCUCAUUUGUCCCAGAAGUGUCGGCAGAGUAAAAGUGUGCAAAGCGCUGAAGCCCUGGGUGACCUGUGCUCUGAAAUGCGGCCCAGUGGGGAUUCAGGGGCAGCCAAACGCACCGACUGUGUCAGGCAAGAAUUCCACCUCAUUUCCAUUCCGAGGUUGGCAGAACAAAUCCUGAGAGUCUCGAAGCAGCGACAGUGCCUUCUCUGCCUCCUUGCGGGCGUGCAGUGGACUGUGGGAGCGUCUAGCCUGGUGGGCAUCCUUCACAGCGCAGGGCUCAGAACCUGCAUGCCCAAAGCCUGGGCCCAGCCCGGCCGGCCUGGUGCCAGUCCAGACGCCUCUGCGCUUACUGCUGCCCA
Molecule: long non-coding RNA, 511 nt
Organism: Manis javanica (Malayan pangolin)
Lineage: Eukaryota; Metazoa; Chordata; Mammalia; Pholidota; Manidae
Source: RefSeq, a predicted model, not a curated record